CAUGUAUCUGUGAAUGUAUUGUUCCUAUUAGCCCUGUGUAAUGGGCUUUAAAAUUUAAAAAGCCUCAGCUAUAUUUUAGGACAGGCAUCAUGAUCCAUCUGUAUCUUUCAAAUGAACAAUGGUCAGAAUUUUAAGUACCUGGCCAUAACGCAUUAUAGGUUGAUUAGGACAGGGCAAAUCUGAAAAGAUUUACAGCCUGGGUUUAGACAGUUACUUGCCCAAAAGUACAAGUCUCCAGUCUUGAAGCAGAGUUCAGGAUUUUGCCACAAGAGUCCUAUUUGCAAAUCAGGGCUGCUGUAUUUUUCCAUAAAAAAAAUCUCUUGAGCACAGUAACUUUUGAAACAAGAUGUGGUACUUUUUUUCUUAUUUGUCCCAUUGAAAGGCAAAUUGAAAGGCCAUUGAAAGGCAUCAAAUUCUGAGGGUCUUACCAGCUGGAUUUAUCGGAGUAUCCAUAGACAAAUGAAUUGGUGAUUUCCUGGUCCCAUGUGGUGGGUUAGCCUUCACUAACAACAAAACUCAUGCCCAGCUGUUCUCCACAAUAGGACAGAGGGAGAAAAUGGGAUGGAAAAGCUUGUGAAAAACUUUGGGAAAAAUCAAUUUAAUUUAUUGGCAAUUAAAAAAAAAAAAAAAAGAUCCACAUAAUAAGAACAAAGAAAAACAUUAAAAAACAAAUUCCUGCCCCUUCCCCAGGCCCAACACCCCCUUUUCACUCCCACCCCCUUCCCCCCCCAGCAGCACAGGGGAUGGGAUGGGAUGGGAUGGGAUGGGAUGGGAUGGGAUGGGAUGGGAUGGGAUGGGAUGGGAUGGGAUGGGGGCUGUGCUCAGCCCCCCCAGCCUCUCUCUGCCUCCCAUUCCUCCUCAUCCAUGGCCCUGCCCCAGCGGGGGCCCUGCCCUGGGUUGCAGCCCUUCAGGAACACUCUGCUCCCGUGGGGGCACCCCACGGCCGCAGCUGCCUCAGGAAAUGUCCCCCUGCUGCAGCGUGGGCCCUCCCCGGGCUGCAGGGUGGAGAUCUGCUCCAGCGGGGGCUCUGCAGGGCUGCCGGGGAAUCCCUGCUGCCUGUGGGCCUGGAGCCCCUCCUGCCCUCCUCCUCCUGGGGCCUGGGCCCUCUGCUGCUUCUUCCUCGCCCUGGGCCUCCUCCUCAGCCUGUGCCUGUUGUGCCCUUUCAGAAAUCUGUUUUCCCCGAGGUGCCGCCAGCUUGGUGCUGGGCUCAGCUGGGCCCUGGCACCGGGCUGUUGGAGCCGGCUGGAACUGUCUGGGUCUGACAUGGGGCAAUCCCUGCCAGGACCUGGGCAUGGACACACAAUCCAUCACCGAGAAAUAGGAGAAAUAGCAAUUGAAAGCUACCUCUGAAAGGGGAUGUAUUGCUGACUCUGGAGCUGAUAAACAGGACUGGAAAUGCUGGAGACCCUGACUGCAUGUCAGUCUGCAAGUGAGCAGACUGGGAGUUUUGGCUCUUGAGGCUCUGAAGCUACUCCCUGACUCCAUCCUUCUUGUCAGCAGAGUUCUCAAGAAACUCUGAACUAUCAGAAACUUUGGUACCCUGGUGGACCAGCAAGUGGGAUGGAAUGUUUGAGAUAGGCAAAGUGGUAAGGUGAAUGUGAGAAACUUGUAAAAUUAACCAUCUCUUUGAAAUUGCACAAUUCUGUCAAAUCAGCAAAUUCUGAUAAUAAAGAAAACUUCAAACUUAUGCUGGUUAUACUU
Molecule: long non-coding RNA, 1701 nt
Filed under: Anas platyrhynchos platyrhynchos (common mallard)
Lineage: Eukaryota; Metazoa; Chordata; Aves; Anseriformes; Anatidae
Description: lncRNA (ENSAPLG00000019092.1)
Source: RNAcentral